Molecule: long non-coding RNA, 9611 nt
Organism: Columba livia (rock pigeon)
Lineage: Eukaryota; Metazoa; Chordata; Aves; Columbiformes; Columbidae
Exons: 2
Source: RefSeq, a predicted model, not a curated record
GCGCCGGCAGCGGCGGGGGUCCCACCGCCUCACCCUCCCUUCUUCACCCCCCCCCGUUCCCAGUGGUCGCGCCCGGGCGGCGGGUCACGUGGCGGCGGGUGCUGUGUGUGACGUGGGGGCGCGGCGGGGCAGCGCGCGCGGCCGCGGGGCAGCGCGCGCGGCGCGGAGCGGAGCGGAGCGAAGCGGCGGCGACAACGACAGCGACAGCGACAACGGCGGCGACAAACGGGGGGUCCCUGGGUGGCAACAGCCGGGCGGUGCAAACACACAUCCCAACACCCCCCCCCCCUCCUCCCGUCACUCUCCGAAAGAGAAAAAGGAAGAGAUCUGAAACAAAAAACCCACCAAAAUGCGCCUUUUAAUUUUUUUUUUUAAUUUUUUAACGUUAUUAUUUAUUUUUGAUAUUUAAUUUGGCGGGGAGGGGGGGGGCUCACUUUCGCGUUUAAAAAGCAAGCCUCCCCCCUUAAGAAAAAAAAAAACAACCCAGCGAGCAAAGCCAGGAUCCUGCUGCAUUGCACUGGAUUUUUACGUUUUUAACAUUAUUUUUCCCUCAAUCAGCUUUUUUGUUCAAUAAUUUUUGCAAACAGCCGCGCUCGGCUUACGGCCUCCAGCAGGAUUUACUCUUGGGGAAAGAAGCUUUUUCCUUAAAGACCCCCCCAUAUACCUCCCUUUUUCCUUUUAAUCUUUAUUUUUUUAAAUCUAUUUUAUUUCUUUGCUGGGAUUCUCCAGACCUGAAAAAAAAGAAAACAAACCAAAUUAUUUCUUCCUCUUUUUUUCUUUUUUCUUUUUUAAAUCCGUUUUCUCUUUUCCUUUCCAGGACUCUGGAGUGGUGGGUUAAUUCUUUGUAGCUGUUAUUGUUAUUGUUGCAAAAUAGCCUGUAAGUCUGUAAAUAUUCUGCUUCUAUGGAAAUGUCGAAGUGUGCCGGGGAUGCUUAAUUAUGUUGGCUUUUCUGGAAGGGGUUUAAUUUCGGCGCUUUUCGCUUAUUACUGGGUAAAGGCCUUUGCUGGGAGGUGUGGGGCGGCAAAGGGAAUAAUGUAAAGCCUUUGCAAUCCGUAUGUCCGGUGGGUUUUGCUGGGGGGGUGCAGACGGAGGGGACCUGUCACCCCAGCCUUUCCCUGGUCCUCUAUGGAAAUAUAUCGCCCUGUAUGUAAAUCUGUGGAGAUUUCUGCCUCUCUGUCCUCCAGCCUUGCGUGUUUAUUUCCAGCGGGCCUGCUGAGAGGGUUUGUCUCGGGGUCGGGGGGUGGAUCAGCGGAUCACAAGUCUCAUUUUUCUUUCCCCGUCGGUUCUUUGGGCGCUCGGUGUGGUGGGGAGCAGGGGGUGGACACGCUCCGGGCAGCAAUGGCAUUCCUGGGCCGUUGCAAUUAAUAGAAAUUUAUUUACGAGAAUAACCACCGCAGGUCACAGUGCCCUCGGUCUACUAAUGCAAUUGCUCAGAGCUACUGAUUCAGCCACCACCGAGCCCCACGGAGCAGCCACCCUGGAUGCAAAGUCCCCGGGUGCUGCUUUUAUUUCUAAGCUGAGCUCUUGAACCAAAAUGCUUUAAAGCAAUGAGGGGCGGGGUGGGGGGAAAGAAAUUAGGAAGAAAGCCCUUCUGCUAAUCCAACUCAUCAUUAAAAAUAACCCAGUGGCAAGGCAGGGAUGGCACUCCUGAGACACUUGAGAUGGUACAGAUAUGCUGGAGAGACGGCUUUCCUGUAGUUAAAAAGCAAUAUGUAAUUCCCAGAAAGUGAGUGCAGCUUGAGCUGAGCGACUCUGCUCCCGGCCCCGGGCAGAGAAGGGGCUCCCGGGGUGUCUGCAGGCGGCCGGCUCAGAGGUGAAGGAGGAAUGGACCCAAUAAUAUAAACUCUGCUCCGGGAUUUUAUUUUUUUUUUUUUAUUUUUUUUUUUUUACAGUAAUGAAAUUAAAAGGAAAGGGAGGGGACAGAUCUUUUCAUUUUUUUGGUCAUUUCUCUGCAGCGUGUGAUGCUUUCGCUUUAGCUGGAGCGUGUGUCUGGCCGAGCCCGGCGCCUGCGGGACGUUCGGGAGCAGCGAGAGCGCUGCCGCUUGGGUAUUUUUUUUUGGUGGAGACCCGAGGUCGAGCACGGCUUCUGUUCAAGUAGCACUUAUACGGGGGAGAUUUCUCGCUCUGCCUGGCCGCUGCUGAGCGAGGGUGUGCAUCAGAGUUUCCAUUCAAACUCCCCUCAUUAUGGGGAUUUAGAGAAAGGCCACCAGCAUCCCCUUCGGGCUGGGAACUGGGCAGCCUGGGUGCCUUUGCAGUGUUUUUGGCCCCUCUCCUCUGGUUUUGUACCUUCUCUUCCCCCCAGUCCAUCACCUGGGGCCUGGCUGCGGUUCCCCAGGGGGUCCUGCCACCCGCCCCCACCUCCCACCGCUUCCUUCUGUCCCCCGAAAAGCAGCAGCCAUCCCCAUGGCACCUUGCUGGGGGUUUCGGGGUGCUGGGGAUGGGGUCAUUUCUCUUCCCCCAUCAACCAGCGGGGUCAGGGCAGAGCGAGGCCUUGUCACCUUGUCACCCUCUUCCCUUGCCUGUCCCUGCUCUGGGGACCAGCUUGGCAGCUGGUGGCAGCAGUGGCGGCUGCCAGGUGGCCAAGGCAGUGAUGCCCCGGCGGGGCGGCCUCCCUCACCUCAGCCAGCUGAGUAUGAACGACUUUGCUUUGGGGGUGAAGGCAGCCCUGUGGUGCAGAAGGGGGGCUGCUGGGGGGCUGUGAAGCUGCUGGCAGCCCCCAUAUUGGCUGCGGGAUGCUCCCCACCAGCCUCGGCCUCGGGGCAGCUCCCGCGCACCCACAAGGUUCCCGCACGGCAUGUGGAGGGGCAGCAGCUCAGCCUCACCGUUUGUGCUGCCAUAACCCUGCUGCGGGGGGCCAGCCCUACACAGCCCCCUCUCAAAAACUCCCCCCCACCCUGCAGAGACCCCCCCACACACCCAGGCAGGGGUUUUAACCCACAUGUGCUGCCCUGCAAAGCAGUGGUGAUGCCGGGACGGGAAUGAUGCUGCUGGGGAACGGUCCCCUCGGAGCUGGCAGGAGUGUUUCUGGGCGCACCAGAGCGGCUCUGAGGAGUGGGAGCAGGGGCAGGAGCAGUGCUGGGCAUCACUACAGGUGCCUCGGAUCCCCCUGAUGGGGAUCCAGCUCCAGCCUCUCCAUUCCUCCCCCCAGCAAAGCUCCUCAGAUGAAAAGCACCCCCUCUGCCCGCAUGUUGGCAUGCAGGGCACAAAGCAAUGUGACAUUAUUUAGCCCCCUGUGAGAGCUGCAGUUUGAUGUUGAAGGCCCUCAGAGCUGGAGGUGCUGCUCAGUGGUGACAGGAGACCCCAGGGUUUGGGUCAUGCCCCCCAGGGGACGCAGUGAGUUUUUAAGUGGUGUCGAGGCUGGUGAGUAUUUUUCCCAGGUGAACUGCACCUCUGGAAAGAACUCUCUCAUCUUUUACAAAAUACUACUUAAAUAAACAGUGCCCCGCUAUAAUUUUUUUCUUUAGAAAUUAACUCCUUCAGGCCAUGAGGGUUACCCAUCCCCAUGCAAAACAGCUACCAGGACUUUUAAAGAAAACAAAAAAAAUCAUGUAUCUGGGAAAGAAAAGUUUAGCCUGACAGAAGAGAGCCCAUAAAUCUCUCCCCUUCCCCGUGGCAGCCGAGGCCGGGUUGCGGGAGCAGCCUGCCCAUUUCAAAGCCGAGUGCCGCUGCACGAAUGGUACUUAAAAGGAGUUUUGUGCAUAUUAAUGCGUGUGCGCUGAGGCCAGGCUGCACGCUGCACGGGGACAGCCUAUUCCCUGCCUGAAUUGAACUAUCUUGUUUUCUAAUCUAACCUACUUUUUUUCUUUUUUUCUUUUUUUUCUUUUUGUCAGAGGUUGGUGCUUUGCAGGAACCUGUUCUCAGUGCAAUCUCAGAGCUUUUAGUGGGUGUCUGAUUUCUGUAACACGUUUUGGUUUCCAGUAUGAAUGUAACGUGCAUAGAAUACCAUGACACUGCUCUAGGUGUAUGCGAUCUUAUCUACCUGACAUUUAGGGUUUUUUUAACCGUCCAUUUCACCUGAUUUGCAUAAAAAUCACGUGGGUUUUCUUUUUUUUUUUCCUCUUUUUUUUUCAUGCAUCAUCAUAACAAACUACUCAGGUUUACCAGGCUGUUUUCUGCCUGUCAGCAUGAAUGCAGGGCCCAUCUCUCUCCCCCUUCUUCCUCCGUGAUGGAGGUUGGGGAUGUUGAAGGCAGCGCUUGGAGGGGACCUGUGAUCCCAGAUGGCCACUGAAAUCCUUAAUAAGCAAACGUGUAUGGUUUAACUUCCAAGAAAACAAAGCAGCUGAGCAUGCAUCCCAUCCGGUUCUUGUUAAUUUAAAUAGACGAGACGUCUUUUUAUUGAUAAGGAAACUCCUCCGGAACAGCCCCUCAGAUCCCAGAAGGCUCCCCCUGCCGCGGACGUCCUCAUUACAAAACAAGGCCGCAAUUAAAAUAAACUCCAAGAGCUAAACAAACUGCUGCCUCUCGCUGGUCAUGUGUUAGCUUUAGCUUUUAACGCAGAACAAAAUGUUUUCCUGGGUAUGGGAAGAGGCAUGGGCUGCGGCCGGGAGGAGAAGAGGGAGCAGCAGCCGGGCGUGUGGAAGUGGCAGGGAGUGGAGGACGGCGAUGCUCAUCGGGGUUCCUUUUUCUUGCUUUCUUCUUUUUUAAAAAAAAUAAUAAAAAUUGUUUUAUUCUUACUUUUUUUUCUUUCUUUCUUUUUUUUUUUUCUUUUUUUUUUUUUUUUUCUGUUUUAAUUGGAGUGUUUGUAAUCUGGCUCAGUCCUUAAUGCAAGGGAAAGGACUGGAAGUGGAAAAACUUGAAUGUCGUGGUAGAGCCUGGCUGUUCCAGCACGCCCUGGGCACACCUGGCCGUACCUCGUCCCCUCCCAGCCCAGCUCCCAGUCAGCCCACUGACAGCUUGCCCAUCUGCAAGCCACUGGCCCAAUUUUUGUUGCUCCCAUCGCACCUCAUGCAGAGUAGGUACCACUCAGCAUCCACCAGCAUCCAGAGCUGGACCAGUGCGGUGUGGGCGGGGAGGUACGGGGCACCUCAGAGGUCAGGAGCAGGGAGAUGGAGAGAUGCAUGGGGGUAUGGAGAGAUGGACAAGGGGACUGAGCAACAGCCAGAGGUUGCUGAGGGGUGUGUGGCCAUCCAUCCCCCAGCGCCCCCGCACAACGGUGUGGUUCCCCAUACCUCAUGAGAGCAUGUUGCUGCCUCCAUGCCUCGUGCAGGCACCUCAUUUGGAGUAAUGAAUUGCACUCAGACCAAUAUCCCGCGACAAGAACUGCUCUGAUAAAGGAGGGCUGUAUGGUCCGGCCAUGCUCAGAUAAAAUCCAAGGAUGAUAUUUCUGUGAAAUCACCCAAAUAACUGGCACAUCUGCCUGGCUCCCACUGCCAGGAGUGAGUGCAGACUUGUCUGUCCAAAUUUACUUUCCUCUCAUACAGGCAAAGGAGGGAGAUACCUGUCUGCCUGCCUGAUCUCCCAGACACUGGCUGUGAAUAAAUAUCAUUUACGGACAUGCAUAAAGACCGUCCCUGUCCCACUGAGCACCAACAGCCCCCUGCCAUCUCUGCCUCGUCUUUGAUUUAAAAGGGAAACUUCAUCCUGAGGUUUUCUAGCCACAGAUAAUUUGUUCUGACCCCUCCUUGGUCCCAAUCAAUUUUUAACUAAUUGUGGGCCAAAGCCUGGCAGUGUUUCGAAGGGUCCAUGCUGGGCAAGGAGCCUCCUGGCAGGGCACAUGGUGAGGGACCCUUCACCCAGCUGGUGUCCCCAGCUUGUCCCCAAAUCUUGUCAUCCGGGCACCCAUGAACAUACGAAGCAUCUGACCCAUGGAAGCUGAGAACCCCUGGCCCAUGGCUGAGCAACACCGCUGAUCUCUUUACUUUUCAGCACGUUUGUCAACUUUCAGCUGUCAAGAUUAAAAAAAAACAUCACUUACCCUUACAGAUACUUUCCUGAUAAGGAUUUACACUGAGGUAACCUAAUGCAAAAGUGGUUGCUUUGUCAGGAGAAAUAAAAUAAUAAAGGCAGCACUUGCUUUGGAUGGUUAAUAGUGUUAUUUAUUACUCUUGUGCUCAUGCCUCGGAGAAUCUUGUGAAUCCCUGAUAUUAAAAAGCAGACGAGAGCCUCAGAAGGAGGACGAUGCCUCAAACUUUUACAAGCACAAGCACACUUAAAUUAAUAUAGGGAUUUGCAUUGAUCCAAAUAAUUUUGCAACAGGCCUCUAAAGUUCAGGCUAAACUAGCCUGUUAUUUUGUCCUUUUUUUUUCUUCUUUUAAUAACUCCUCAGGCGCCUCAGCCAGUAAAGUGCUACGUGAAUUUCAAUUUCUCUCUUCAAAUAAAACAUCAACAUAAUUUUUGUAUUCUUUAAAACGAUCUGUGCAAUUUUGCUCACUGAAACCUUUUGAUUUAGACUUAAAGGUUUUAGUGACUGGAUGGGAGAGUAUCUGAAAGUAAUGAUGAAAAUGUUAAUUAUUUGUUUUACUGCCUCCUGAAAUUCUUUUAUUUCUCUGUACUAUCUCUAAAAGCAUGUCUGGCAAUAACAAGCUGUCUCUGAAAAUAAUUCAAUUAAAGGUAUUGCCAACAGAAUAGUUCAUAUUUUUUUAUACCACUAGUUAGAGUGUUAAAUAAUAUAUUAGUAGAUUUAUAGACUACAUUUAGGUAUGACUAUUAAUAGCUACAGUAAAAACCAGAAUAUUCAUAUAAAAAGUGUGGGGGGUAAGUUUGGUUUCUGGGUUUUAAUUUUUUUUUCUCCUCACUCUUCUUAUUUGAGUUUCAGUUUUAGGACUUAAAAAGAAUUAGAUUUUCUCAUCUUUUUCUGUUACUCCCAUAUGACAAGAAUAAGUCAGCUACUUUUUGAGCCUAAAAUUCCCUGUGGGAUUUCUCCUUGUUUUAAAUAAUUAAUAUUAAAGGAGUAAGAAAGAAGCAGGCAGAUUCUACAGGAUGGACAUUAAUCGAAUGGGAUAUUUAUUUGCAUAGGUACAUGGCAUAUACAAAGGAUCGAACCCAAAGCUGUAUGAAAUUGCCAGUUAUUCCUUUACAGUGUUACAAAUAGAUUAUUACCCUUAAGCAUGUAACUCUUAAUGUCCUAAAAAAAGUUUAACUCCAGGAUUAUUUUUAUUUAAUCUGGUAAAUGACAAAUAUAUUUUUAGUUUCUAUAAAGCAGAAAUAAAACAUCUCCCAGGAGCUGGAAACUAAACUUAACUGCUCCCCCCCACCUCUUCUUUUUAUUUUAUGGACAUUUAUUUCCUUUUUUUUUUUGUUGUUCCUUUUAUUUUUUCUUUCCAAAGUCUCAUUAGCUCUUCUGAAUUUUGCCAUUUAUUUCUCCUUCCUUCUCCCUCAAGAAAAACACUUUUCAUCAGAAAACACGAUAUUCUUUUCUUCUGAGCCUCCCGGCAAAUUACCUCGCUCUCUCCAGACGAGUUUCUAGGAUCAACAAGUUAACCUUCAGAAAGAUUACAAAGGUACAAGUGGGCUGCUUAAGAGGUGAAUCAUUAAACAUAAGGUGAAGUAUACGGCUGCAGAGGGUUUCAAUUAAAGUGACAGUUCAGGCAGCCUUUGCCUGCCCGGGAAAGGUUUGUGUUUAUCGUCAGCACCGCGUUGGGAGCAGCAUCCAUCCCGGGCAGGGAGCGUUGGUUCCCCACGGCCGCGUCCUGCAUUGCCAGGGCUGCUGCUGCUGCUGCCCUCCCUCCUGCAAACAGCUCCGGCGGGUUCAGCCUGAUAAAUUCGACCGUGACAGCAGUAAAAUACGGGAAAGGGGCCAGAUCUCCUUUCUGUCCCACCCAGGCUGGAGUGAAGGAGCCCGUCUAGGACGUGCCGUCCCAGAGGCUUCACCCAACGCUCCUCGUUACCCCAGCCGCAGAGAGAGCAGGAUCAGGCCCACAACCUUCCCCACUGCUUCCCUGAAUCCUGUUUGCUUCUACUUUUUUAAAAAAAUUAUUUUUUAAAGUAGUUUUGUUUUAAUAUGACAGCAUAUUUAAUAAGCAGCCCCGGGCUGGAGGGAGAAGUGCGAGAUCCUUGCCGAGCCGUAGAAAUCCUGCGCUCGCGCUGCCUCGUCCCCAUAGCUGCUCGGAGUGGGGCCGGCACCUCGGCACUCCUGACACCCUCACCAAAUUUCCCGUGGGUGCCCCGGGGACCCUCUACCCCCAUGCAGAGGCUACAUCUAUGCACAGAGGGCAACAUAUGGACGACCAGUCCCCAGGCAGCUGCUGCUGCUCCGUCUGCCCUGCACGGAGGUCCCGCAUGCUUGGAAGGGGUGAUGUCUUGAAAUGUCUCAAUCGCAUUGCUCCAGCCCGACCUGGCAGAUAAGGGACAGCUUGUGCAUGGCUGGGACAGGGUUGAGGCAGCGAGCAAGUCCAGCUGGCAGGAAGAACAUCGCCCGCACACAAGGGGACAGAUCUGUCUACUGCAGCAAUCACGAGACCAAGAAAUGCUUUUUCUUCAGAAGAACUUGUUGAUUUUAAAAAUAAAGCAGCCGCGGCCUAUGCUCCCAGGAAUGUCUGGGAUCAGGAAAAUGGAAAGACAUUUUUUCCGUUCCUAGUGCAAUUUGCACUGUAAAACCUAAACAGUGUUUGUCUUUCUGGACUUUCCCAGUUCCACACUUCUAUGGCAUUUAUCAACACAGUGUUUUGGUGAGUGACCUUCCUGUGGAUCAUGGGCAUGGCUGAAGUGAGGCAGUGAUAGUGCCAAAUUCCUGAUAUCCAACAGAUUCCCCCUUCCUACCUGGAGCAGACAAAUGAAUCUGGGGAGUGCUCUGCUCAUGGAGGAAACGGCCUGAUCUGAAGGUAUCUUUGGAUCAAACUAAGCCCAAACCUGUAAAAACUUGUGCACCUGCUCAGCUCUGAGAGCAUGAGUAAUCACAGAGACUGAACAUAUUAUUUCUAUCAUUUUUUUUCAUACAGACUAUUUCUGUGUCUCUCUUCUCCUAUUAUCUCAGUGUCUCGUAAACAUUAAUGAAUGGUUCUCAGGUCCCAGCACACUGCUUCAUUGUUUGGCUUGCAGGUCACAGAGAAGGAUAAAAGAGAUGGGAAAAAAUACAGGGUUGCAUUUUAAAAUGUCUGAUUUUAUUACCAUUUCUUUGCCUAGCUUCUGGAGCAUAGGACUAAGGGGGUGGGGGUUCCCCAGCCUUCAGAUUGGGGACUGGCCUCAUGUACUCUGCCUUUGUGGGAGGGAGGGUGACCCCCACAAACUCAGACAGGAGCUGGAGGAGAUUUCUGUGUGACACCACAUUAGUGGAAAACCUUGCCAAAAUGCAUCAUGCAAAGCAUGGCUCGGAGAUGUAUCCUCAGCAGUGAGACGCUGAGUGCAGAUGUCUGAGUUAAUUCACACAAUGGCAAAGGGCUGGGAGAUGUUCGCAAUUCUAAGGCUCUGAGCUGGGCAUGGGUGAAAUUCUUUCACCUGAAACUUCCCUUGUGUGAAAAAUGCAAAUUUGUUGACAAAUAGUUUUGAGCAUUAGUGCUGGUUGUACUAAUUUUUUUUUGUCCUGAGAAAAGAAUUCCAAGAAAGUACAUUUGCAAUGUUUAUUUCAGUUUGAAAUUCCCCUCCAUUUUACUUGUAAAUUGCUCCAAAUCAAAGUGCAGCAUUUUCUCCUCACCUUUCCCAUUUGCUGUAAUUUAAAUAAAUAGUCUCAGUCACAA